GAUGAACGCUCGCGGGAGGCCUAACACAUGCAAGCCGAGCGGUAGAGUCUCUUCGGAGACUUGAGAGCGGCGCACGGGUGCGGAACACGUGUGCAACCUGCCUUUAUCUGGGGGAUAGCCUUUCGAAAGGAAGAUUAAUACCCCAUAAUAUACUGGAUGGCAUCAUCUGGUAUUGAAAACUCCGGUGGAUAGAGAUGGGCACGCGCAAGAUUAGAUAGUUGGUGAGGUAACGGCUCACCAAGUCAGCGAUCUUUAGGGGGCCUGAGAGGGUGAUCCCCCACACUGGUACUGAGACACGGACCAGACUCCUACGGGAGGCAGCAGUGAGGAAUAUUGGACAAUGGGUGAGAGCCUGAUCCAGCCAUCCCGCGUGAAGGACGACGGCCCUAUGGGUUGUAAACUUCUUUUGUAUAGGGAUAAACCUAGAUACGUGUAUCUAGCUGAAGGUACUAUACGAAUAAGCACCGGCUAACUCCGUG
Molecule: ribosomal RNA, 479 nt
Filed under: uncultured bacterium
Lineage: Bacteria
Description: partial 16S ribosomal RNA
Rfam family: Bacterial small subunit ribosomal RNA
Source: RNAcentral